GAGUUUGAUCAUGGCUCAGAGUGAACGCUGGCGGUAGGCCUAACACAUGCAAGUCGAACGGCAGCACAGUAAGAGCUUGCUCUUAUGGGUGGCGAGUGGCGGACGGGUGAGGAAUACAUCGGAAUCUACUUUUUCGUGGGGGAUAACGUAGGGAAACUUACGCUAAUACCGCAUACGACCUACGGGUGAAAGCAGGGGAUCUUCGGACCUUGCGCGAUUGAAUGAGCCGAUGUCGGAUUAGCUAGUUGGCGGGUAAAGGCCCACCAAGGCGACGAUCCGUAGCUGGUCUGAGAGGAUGAUCAGCCACACUGGAACUGAGACACGGUCCAGACUCCUACGGGAGGCAGCAGUGGGGAAUAUUGGACAAUGGGCGCAAGCCUGAUCCAGCCAUACCGCGUGGGUGAAGAAGGCCUCGGUUGUAAG
This 423-nucleotide ribosomal RNA is filed under the name uncultured microorganism. Its description in RNAcentral is "bacterial SSU rRNA". It matches the Rfam family "Bacterial small subunit ribosomal RNA", at positions 9 to 429 of the family's 1533-position model. The record is from RNAcentral.